AAACUUGAUGCUUAUUACCGGAUAAGCCCUUACGGGGAAAGAUUUAUCGCCGAAAGAUCGGCCCGCGUCUGAUUAGCUAGUUGGUGGGGUAAUGGCCCACCAAGGCGACGAUCAGUAGCUGGUCUGAGAGGAUGAUCAGCCACAUUGGGACUGAGACACGGCCCAAACUCCUACGGGAGGCAGCAGUGGGGAAUAUUGGACAAUGGGGGCAACCCUGAUCCAGCCAUGCCGCGUGAGUGAUGAAGGCCCUAGGGUUGUAAAGCUCUUUUGUGCGGGAAGAUAAUGACGGUACCGCAAGAAUAAGCCCCGGCUAACUUCGCGCCAGCAGCCGCGGUAAUACGAAGGGGGCUAGCGUUGCUCGGAAUCACUGGGCGUAAAGGGUGCGUAGGCGGGUCUUUAAGUCAGGGGUGAAAUCCUGGAGCUCAACUCCAGAACUGCCUUUGAUACUGAAGAUCUUGAGUUCGGGAGAGGUGAGUGGAACUGCGAGUGUAGAGGUGAAAUUCGUAGAUAUUCGCAAGAACACCAGUGGCGAAGGCGGCUCACUGGCCCGAUACUGACGCUGAGGCACGAAAGCGUGGGGAGC
RNAcentral lists this ribosomal RNA (583 nucleotides) under Bradyrhizobium sp. Z0-YC6834. RNAcentral's name for it is "bacterial SSU rRNA". It matches the Rfam family "Bacterial small subunit ribosomal RNA", at positions 152 to 769 of the family's 1533-position model. Lineage: Bacteria; Pseudomonadati; Pseudomonadota; Alphaproteobacteria; Hyphomicrobiales; Nitrobacteraceae. The record is from RNAcentral.